UAGGGAAUCUUGCGCAAUGGGCGAAAGCCUGACGCAGCCAUGCCGCGUGAAUGAUGAAGGUCUUAGGAUUGUAAAAUUCUUUCACCGGGGACGAUAAUGACGGUACCCGGAGAAGAAGCUCCGGCUAACUUCGUGCCAGCAGCCGCGGUAAUACGAAGGGGGCUAGCGUUGCUCGGAAUUACUGGGCGUAAAGGGCGCGUAGGCGGACAGUUAAGUCAGAGGUGAAAGCCCGGGGCUCAACCUUGGAACUGCCUUUGAUACUGGCUGUCUUGAGUUCGGGGGAGGUGAGUGGAAUGCCGAGUGUAGAGGUGAAAUUCGUAGAUAUUCGGCGGAACACCAGUGGCGAAGGCGACUCACUGGCCCGAUACUGACGCUGAGGCGCGAAAGCGUGGGGAGCAA
RNAcentral lists this ribosomal RNA (399 nucleotides) under uncultured bacterium. RNAcentral's name for it is "bacterial SSU rRNA". It matches the Rfam family "Bacterial small subunit ribosomal RNA", at positions 355 to 771 of the family's 1533-position model. The record is from RNAcentral.